RNAcentral lists this ribosomal RNA (1338 nucleotides) under Chrysops silvifacies. RNAcentral describes it as "16S ribosomal RNA". The stretch from base 1086 to 1246 matches the Rfam family "Archaeal large subunit ribosomal RNA", at positions 2544 to 2703 of the family's 2987-position model. The record is from RNAcentral. Lineage: Eukaryota; Metazoa; Arthropoda; Insecta; Diptera; Tabanidae.
AAUAUAAAUUAUUUAUUAAUAUUUUUAUUUAUAUUUUUAUUGUUAUUAAAAAUAAUUAUAAAAGUAAAUGUUUUAGUAUAAUAUAUAGAAUAAAUAAUUUUUAUAAUAGUGAAUUAGUAUUGUAAAGAAAAAUUGAAAUAAUUUGAAAAAUUAAUAUUUUAAAAGAAAAUUUAAUUUAUUGUACCUUGUGUAUCAGGGUUUAUUAAUUAAAAAAUAAUAAUAAUUAUUUUUCUCGGUUUUAAAAGAGUUAAUAAAUUAUAUUAGUUUAUGUAGAAAAAUAAUUAAUAAUAAUUUAUUGGAAAUGAAAAGUUAAUCGUUUUUAAAGGUAUCUAGUUUUUUAAGAAAUGAAUUUAAUUCAGUUAUUUUUAAUAUAUUAAUUUAAUUGAUUAAUAUAAUAUUUAAAAAUAAUUAUAUUUUAUGGGAUAAGCUGUAAAAUAAAUAAUUAAAAAUUAAUUAAUUUAUUAAUAAAUAUAUGCUUAUAAAUAGUAAUUAUUAUUAAAUAUGUUAUAAUUUAUUUUAUAAAAUUAAUUAUUUAAUUUAAUUUUAAUUAUUUAUUAAAAUAUUUAUUUUAAUAAUAAUAAUAAAUUAAUAAUGAUAAAAUUAGUAUAUAUUAUAUUAUAUAAUUUGUAAAAAUAUAAUAAAUUGUAAAUUUUAUAUAAAUAAUUCGGCAAAUAUAGUAUUCGCCUGUUUAUCAAAAACAUGUCUUUUUGUAAUUUAUUUAAAGUCUAAUCUGCCCACUGAUAAUUUUGAAGGGCCGCGGUAUUUUAACCGUGCAAAGGUAGCAUAAUCAUUAGUUUUUUAAUUGAAGGCUUGAAUGAAUGAUUGGACGAGAUAUAAGCUGUUUCAUAUAAAAUUAAGUAGAAUUUUAUUUUUUAGUUAAAAAGCUAAAAUUUAUAUAAAAGACGAGAAGACCCUAUAGAUCUUAAUAAUUUAUAUAUUUUAUUUAUAUAGAAAAUUUAAAAUAUUAUAAUUAUAAUUAUUUUAUUGGGGUGAUAAUAAAAUUUAUAAAACUUUUAUAUUUAUUUUACAUAAAUUAAUGAGUAGUUGAUCCAUUUUUAAUGAUUAAUAAAUUAAGUUACCUUAGGGAUAACAGCGUAAUUUUUUUAGAGAGUUCAUAUCGAUAAAAAAGUUUGCGACCUCGAUGUUGGAUUAAGAAAUAAAGUUGGGUGUAGAAGUUCAAAAUUUUAGGUCUGUUCGACCUUUAAUUUCUUACAUGAUCUGAGUUCAAACCGGCGUGAGCCAGGUUGGUUUCUAUCUUUAUUUAAUUAUAAUAUUUUAGUACGAAAGGACCAAAUAUUAAAAAUAUUAAUUUUUUAAGAAAGAAUUUUAUUAAUUUAU